RNAcentral lists this non-coding RNA (188 nucleotides) under Gorillibacterium sp. RNAcentral's name for it is "6S / SsrS RNA". It matches the Rfam family "6S / SsrS RNA". From Rfam's summary of the family: E. coli 6S RNA was the first non coding RNA to be sequenced, but its function was unknown until recently. The record is from Rfam by way of RNAcentral. Lineage: Bacteria; Bacillati; Bacillota; Bacilli; Caryophanales; Paenibacillaceae.
AAAGUCCUGCGCUGUACGUUACGAUUUUAUGUUGUUUUGAACCAAUGACAUGUUUCUCGGGAGACCUAUAUUGCUGGGUUGAUGACACGCCUCCUCCUUUGACGAGGACCUCAAAAACACAGUUGCGGACACCCACCUGCUUAUGCAGGUUUGAAGCACUUGAAUCGGACGGCAUGUGCGGGCUAAUA